CUUCAGUAUCUGAAUUUGGGGAGAACAUAAGUCCAUGACACAUGUGUACAAAACUUUCAUUGGCUAUACAGGAAGCAUGAUGCUAACAUCUGCUCCGUUUCUGGGGAGGCCUCAGAAAACUCACUGUCAUGGUGGAAGGCCAAGGGGGAGCAGGUAUGUUACAUGGCCAGAGCAGGAGCAAGCAAGAGAGGGAGAAGGUGCUAUGGACUUUUAAAUGACCAGAACUCACACACACAGUGAUAUUAGUGUCAUAAUAAUAAUAUAUAACAACAUACAACAGAGCAACCAACAAGCUUAACACCUGAGAAAAGAUAGGUGCCUCCCAGAAGUAACAAACAUGAGUACUUGAUUACCUAGGGCACACAUAGCACAGACCAAGAUAUAAUCGCCUUGAAAGUGGAUGAAAAGAAUGCAGCUGAAACAUUUAUCAAAUUAUUGGAGGCCAAAUGUGAACACUAGUGAAGAUCAACUGUGGUUGGAGAAAUGAAGAACAGCAAAACUCUAACCCCGGGACAAGUACAAGAUUACUGAGAAAGCUUCACCCCACAAACUCAGGGGCACUAAGACUGAGGCUGAGCCGUAACGACAGAAUUUUCCCACUGUUAAAGCAAAUAAAUAUGGCCUGAGAAGGAUUUCUAUAUUUGAGUCCUUGUGGACUAACUGCAACCUAGCUUAACAGAGUAAGACCAUUUAAAGGGACCAAAAAUGGAUGAACAUACUUGGCACUAUGAACUAAAAGAUCUUUGGCUAAAGAAGAGAUGAAGACUCAUUCAACUCCUACAAGUGAAUUAAGGAGCUCUGAGAAGGCAAAGCCAGCCCAGGAGGGUGGACACACUAAGAACAAUGUGCCUUGUCCUGAUACACAGUUGUGGUAUAGGUAACAAAAUCUGAGUAUCCAACCUAAGAUGUUACCCCUCACCUCACCAGAAUACCUCCAAUCCCUUCCCUGGAAACACAGAAUAAAUUCCUAUAGAAAGUUAUAAAGCAGAAAAACAAGGUAUCUUUUGUGGAGUAAAGAAUGAUUAUGGAGGAAAAACACCAUUAACUGUCACAGAAAUAAUUGUGUCAUUCAGCAGAAUGGUAGCUCUAAGGAAGACAGCAGCAAUACUCAAG
This 1113-nucleotide long non-coding RNA is filed under the name Homo sapiens (human). RNAcentral's name for it is "HSALNT0362041". The record is from RNAcentral. Lineage: Eukaryota; Metazoa; Chordata; Mammalia; Primates; Hominidae.